Molecule: ribosomal RNA, 519 nt
Filed under: uncultured bacterium
Lineage: Bacteria
Description: partial 16S ribosomal RNA
Rfam family: Bacterial small subunit ribosomal RNA
Source: RNAcentral
GACGAACGCUGGCGGCGUGCCUAAUACAUGCAAGUCGAGCGAGCUUGCCUAGAUGAAUUUGGUGCUUGCACCAGAUGAAACUAGAUACAAGCGAGCGGCGGACGGGUGAGUAACACGUGGGUAACCUGCCCAAGAGACUGGGAUAACACCUGGAAACAGAUGCUAAUACCGGAUAACAACACUAGACGCAUGUCUAGAGUUUAAUAGAUGGUUCUGCUAUCACUCUUGGAUGGACCUGCGGUGCAUUAGCUAGUUGGUAAGGCAACGGCUUACCAAGGCAAUGAUGCAUAGCCGAAUUGAGAGACUGAUCGGCCACAUUGGAACUGAGACACGGCCCAAACUCCUACGGGAGGCAGCAGUAGGGAAUCUUCCACAAUGGACGCAAGUCUGAUGGAGCAACGCCGCGUGAGUGAAGAAGGGUUUCGGCUCGUAAAGCUCUGUUGGUAGUGAAGAAAGAUAGAGGUAGUAACUGGCCUUUAUUUGACGGUAAUUACUUAGAAAGUCACGGCUAACUACGUG